GACAGAACGAACCUGGUAGGCUGUAUGUCUCCAAUGGAUGCUCCUGAACCAGUUUCCAGUCUCUGUCCCAGCCAAGGCCAUGUAGGAGGCUGGCCUGCAACACCUUCUGCUUCCACAUCAGGACUGCUGGGAUCAAAGGCAUACUCUACACACUCGCAGCUUACUGAAUUCUAGUCCAUAUGUUAGGACUACUCCAAGCACCCUUCUGCAGUUCAGCUUUCUGGCUGAGGGGCCCAAACAGAGCUGUCCAAGAGAAGUACACAGCAGCUGAGAGAGAAGUUCGGGGAAACAGCCCUGGGGAUGGGUUUUCAAACUCAUAGUUUCAAGCGCCGUUGUUUUUCAUAGCCUAAGAGAUAAUUUUGUGUUGCCGUGCUGGGAAAAUGGAGUCUGUGUACUACUUUUUCUGUCUAAUUAAAUACAAAUGUCAGUAAGUAUGGAAUGCAUAGAGCAGCAG
This 454-nucleotide long non-coding RNA is filed under the name Cricetulus griseus (Chinese hamster). RNAcentral describes it as "lncRNA (ENSCGRG00015038686.1)". Lineage: Eukaryota; Metazoa; Chordata; Mammalia; Rodentia; Cricetidae. The record is from RNAcentral.